Molecule: long non-coding RNA, 286 nt
Filed under: Carica papaya (papaya)
Lineage: Eukaryota; Viridiplantae; Streptophyta; Magnoliopsida; Brassicales; Caricaceae
Description: long non-coding RNA (CPAP_LNC016506)
Source: RNAcentral
AAACCAUAAACCUCAAUACCUCGUCCAGUAUGAGGGUGAAACGAGCCGUCCCCAUACCCUGUCCGGUAUGGGCGCCAAAACACAUAAAGUCUCCAUACCCCGUCCGAUAUGAGAGACCACGUUCCCGGUAGGGUUCCCUAUGGACCCGGUCCGUCCACCAUCUCCCAGGAUAUCUAGUUAGGCUGUCGACAUUAUCCAUUUAUCAAUUCACAUACAUUUUUCUAUUUUUCUUAAUCUCAAUUAUCCAAUCAAAUAUAAACACGUAAAUUAGUAAUGGACACCAAAU